This 197-nucleotide ribosomal RNA is filed under the name uncultured bacterium. RNAcentral's name for it is "partial 16S ribosomal RNA". It matches the Rfam family "Bacterial small subunit ribosomal RNA", at positions 328 to 539 of the family's 1533-position model. The record is from RNAcentral.
ACGCUCGACACCUACGGGAGGCAGCAGUGGGGAAUAUUGCACAAUGGGGGAAACCCUGAUGCAGCGACGCCGCGUGGAGGAAGAAGGUCUUCGGAUUGUAAACUCCUGUUGUUGGGGAAAAGAGGAUGGUACCCAACAAGGAAGUGACGGCUAACUACGUGCCAGCAGCCGUGGUAAUCUGAGCGGGCUGGCAAGGC